ACAAAACCUGUGCUUUAGGAAUCCACAGUUAAGUGUAAUUCCUGAAGUGACAGGCAGCAGUUUGGUUUUGUGGGUCGGAACUUGGAUUAUGGGGUCGGACUGGCCAAGUCCGAGCGUCAGCUCCACCCCCUCCACGGCGGAGGCUGUCAGAGCAGAGGCUCCACCAGCUGGUGUUGAGCUCCGCCUUCCGCUUCUCCUGCUGCUUCAGGCCGUACUCGAAGAUGUUCAGGCAGAUGAUGACGAACUUGUCCUUGUAGGGGCAGCUUUCUCUCUGUGACCCACUGUCCACACUGAGUCCCUCAGCCACGAUGACAGGCGCCCACCACGUCCUCUGGGGGAAGGCGUGCAGGCUCAGCCCGCAGCUCCUAA
This is a long non-coding RNA of Physeter macrocephalus (sperm whale), 369 nucleotides long. RefSeq lists it as uncharacterized. Lineage: Eukaryota; Metazoa; Chordata; Mammalia; Artiodactyla; Physeteridae. The transcript has 3 exons. The record is from RefSeq and is a predicted model, not a curated record.